Molecule: ribosomal RNA, 464 nt
Filed under: uncultured bacterium
Lineage: Bacteria
Description: partial 16S ribosomal RNA
Rfam family: Bacterial small subunit ribosomal RNA
Source: RNAcentral
CUACGGGAUGCUCCAGUGGGGAAUAUUGCACAAUGGGCGCAAGCCUGAUGCAGCCAUGCCGCGUGUAUGAAGAAGGCCUUCGGGUUGUAAAGUACUUUCAGCGGGGAGGAAGGGAGUAAAGUUAAUACCUUUGCUCAUUGACGUUACCCGCAGAAGAAGCACCGGCUAACUCCGUGCCAGCAGCCGCGGUAAUACGGAGGGUGCAAGCGUUAAUCGGAAUUACUGGGCGUAAAGCGCACGCAGGCGGUUUGUUAAGUCAGAUGUGAAAUCCCCGGGCUCAACCUGGGAACUGCAUCUGAGACUGGCAAGCUUGAGUCUCGUAGAGGGGGGUAGAAUUCCAGGUGUAGCGGUGAAAUGCGUAGAGAUCUGGAGGAAUACCGGUGGCGAAGGCGGCCCCCUGGACGAAGACUGACGCUCAGGUGCGAAAGCGUGGGGAGCAAACAGGAUUAGAUACCCGGGUAGUC